AUGUGUUGUUUUCAUGGCAGCUUAGACAUCUUUGAAAACUCAAAAGUUUCAGGGUCUCCCCUAGGGUCCUACUGUGACGUCAGCAUGGGCUUCCUGGAUUCCCGAGUCUUGCUGGGCAGGGUGCUUCUCUGGGAGCUCCGUCCAGGCGAGAAGGCUAGUGCCUACAGUCCGAACAAUGAAUGCAAAUUUCAAGUGAACACAGGCGCACGUGUGCAAUCCACUCAAGUUGCAGGUCUACUGAAGAAAACAAUCAUUGAUACACACUUUUGCUUUUAGUGUAUUAAAAUUCAGUUCUUAAUGAAACACACACUGAAGAUGCCAUCUUUCAUCAUUAUGGUAUGUGCCUAUUUAU
RNAcentral lists this long non-coding RNA (352 nucleotides) under Mus spicilegus (steppe mouse). Its description in RNAcentral is "lncRNA (ENSMSIG00000013511.1)". The record is from RNAcentral. Lineage: Eukaryota; Metazoa; Chordata; Mammalia; Rodentia; Muridae.